ACGGGUGAGUAACACGUGAGCAACCUGCCCUUCGAGGGGUACAACAGCUGGAAACGGCUAGCUAAUACCGCAUGACACAGCGGGAGGCAAUCUCCCUGCUGUCAAAGAUUUUAUCGCCGAGGGAUGGGCUCGCGUCUGAUUAGAUAGUUGGUGAGGUAAGGCCCACCAAGUCAACGAUCAGUAGCCGGACUGAGAGGUUGAACGGCCACAUUGGGACUGAGAUACGGCCCAGACUCCUACGGGAGGCAGCAGUCGGGAAUUUUGCGCAAUGGAGGAAACUCUGAACCGCAGUGACGCCGCGUGCAGGAAGAAGGUUUUCGGAUUGUAAACUGCUUUAGACAGGGAAGAAAAAGGACAGUACCUGUAGAAUAAGCUCCGGCUAACUACGUGCCAGCAGCCGC
This 401-nucleotide ribosomal RNA is filed under the name uncultured bacterium. RNAcentral describes it as "bacterial SSU rRNA". It matches the Rfam family "Bacterial small subunit ribosomal RNA", at positions 102 to 518 of the family's 1533-position model. The record is from RNAcentral.